Molecule: ribosomal RNA, 538 nt
Filed under: uncultured bacterium
Lineage: Bacteria
Description: partial 16S ribosomal RNA
Rfam family: Bacterial small subunit ribosomal RNA
Source: RNAcentral
UGGGGAAUAUUGGACAAUGGGCGCAAGCCUGAUCCAGCCAUGCCGCGUGAGUGAUGAAGGCCUUAGGGUUGUAAAGCUCUUUCGCCGACGAAGAUAAUGACGGUAGUCGGAGAAGAAGCCCCGGCUAACUUCGUGCCAGCAGCCGCGGUAAUACGAAGGGGGCUAGCGUUGUUCGGAAUCACUGGGCGUAAAGCGCACGUAGGCGGAUUGUUAAGUCAGGGGUGAAAGCCUGGAGCUCAACUCCAGAACUGCCCUUGAUACUGGCAAUCUCGAGUCCGGAAGAGGUAAGUGGAACUGCGAGUGUAGAGGUGAAAUUCGUAGAUAUUCGCAAGAACACCAGUGGCGAAGGCGGCUUACUGGUCCGGUACUGACGCUGAGGUGCGAAAAGCGUGGGGGAGCAAAACAGGAUUAGAUACCCCUGGUAGUCCACGCCCGUAAAACGAUGGAGGCUAGCCGUUGGCGAGCAUGCUCGUCAGUGGCGCAGCUAACGCAUUAAGCCUCCCGCCUGGGGGAGUAACGGUCGCAAGAUUAAAAACUU